This 1073-nucleotide long non-coding RNA is filed under the name Malus domestica (apple). Its description in RNAcentral is "long non-coding RNA (MDOM_LNC020971)". Lineage: Eukaryota; Viridiplantae; Streptophyta; Magnoliopsida; Rosales; Rosaceae. The record is from RNAcentral.
UCGAGCAAAACAAACAAAAGAAGGAAACAAAACGAAACAAACUAACCAACACAAAACCUAAACCUUCCAACGUUUGCCUCAGGGAUUUCCAAUGCACAUGACAUGUUAAAGAUUGUUAUCCCCACAGAUUUGAGUCAUCUUUACACAAGCAUAUACUUAAUUAAAGCCACCACAUACUAGUUCACAUUUAACCAAUUAAAACAUGAUUUUGAAUGUAGUAACAUGCCUUAGAGAAUUUGCUCAAUUCCUUACUAGAUAUGCACUCAAUUUUCACACAGAUUUUCUGACUACACACCCUAUGCUAGUUAUAUGUGAGAAGAUUGAUGUGAAUAUGAAAACGAAUGCUCACAUAUAUGUAUAACAAGAAAAGCAUUUUCCAGAGUAAAUGACAUGUUUAGAUAUGAUCUCAUGAAAGGAAUGCUAUUACUUAGAUGCGAGAACCAGUGACACCAUAUGCUCAUACCAAAUUCAGACUCCACAAAUUGAAACACAUAACACUCAAGAUAGAAGUUACGGGUUGUAAUGGGGCUUGGGGUAUUGGCUAACAAGGAAAGGAUAGGGAAAACAAACGUUCUUCAAGCGAUAGUAAGCAAAGUAAUGAACUUGAGACUUAGAAUUCAUUUAGAUUGCAGAAAUUAACUUUAACACACAAGGGGAAGACUUAAACAACUCCUUAGGGUCAAAUUCAUUGUUUUGGACCCUUACUUCAACAAACAAUACUUUGGAACUCUUUUUCUCAACUUUUCAACUUUUUUUUUUUUUCUUCAUAUUUUUUUCUUUUUCUUUUCUUUUCUUUGCCGUGCCUAUGGCACACAAUUCCUCAUGAAAAAUACUUCCCCCACACUUGUUUUCUGCUAACAUAGAUCAAAAGGAAUUCAAUUUGAAUCAUGCUUACUAUGCUUUAAGAACAAGGGUUUGGAUGGUCCUAAACUAGGCUAGGUGAGGAAAACAUGGGUUAACAAAUAACGAAGGCUAACAAGGCUCAAUGGGGUUAAAACCUACAAAUCACAAUGACAUAGGGUACACGGCUUUUUGGCUAAGGUGGUGGUCACUACACAACUUCAUCUUGAAUA